This 453-nucleotide ribosomal RNA is filed under the name uncultured Prevotellaceae bacterium. RNAcentral's name for it is "partial 16S ribosomal RNA". It matches the Rfam family "Bacterial small subunit ribosomal RNA", at positions 341 to 792 of the family's 1533-position model. The record is from RNAcentral. Lineage: Bacteria; Pseudomonadati; Bacteroidota; Bacteroidia; Bacteroidales; Prevotellaceae.
ACGGGAGGCGGCAGUGAGGAAUAUUGGUCAAUGGUCGGAAGACUGAACCGGCCAAGUAGCGUGAAGGAUGACUGCCCUAUGGGUUGUAAACUUCUGUUAUGCGGGAAUAAAAAAGUCCACGCGUGGGCUCUUGCAUGUACCGCAUGAAUAAGGAUCGGCUAAUUCCGUGCCAGCAGCCGCGGUAAUACGGAAGAUCCGAGCGUUAUCCGGAUUUAUUGGGUUUAAAGGGAGCGUAGGCGGGCCUUUAAGUCAGUGGUCAAAGCGUGUAGCUCAACCAUACCACGCCGUUGAUACUGGAGGCCUUGAGUGCAAAUAAGGAUGGUGGAAUUCAUGGUGUAGCGGUGAAAUGCUUCGAUAUCAUGAAGAACUCCGAUUGCGAAGGCAGCUGUCCGGGGUGUAACUGCCGCUAAUGCUCGAAAGUGCGGGUAUCAAACAGGAUUAGAUACCCUGGUA